UACGAAGGGGGCUAGCGUUGCUCGGAAUUACUGGGCGUAAAGGGCGCGUAGGCGGCGGUUUAAGUCGGGGGUGAAAGCCUGUGGCUCAACCACAGAAUGGCCUUCGAUACUGGGACGCUUGAGUAUGGUAGAGGUUGGUGGAACUGCGAGUGUAGAGGUGAAAUUCGUAGAUAUUCGCAAGAACACCGGUGGCGAAGGCGGCCAACUGGACCAUUACUGACGCUGAGGCGCGAAAGCGUGGGGAGCAAACAGG
This 253-nucleotide ribosomal RNA is filed under the name uncultured bacterium. RNAcentral describes it as "partial 16S ribosomal RNA". It matches the Rfam family "Bacterial small subunit ribosomal RNA", at positions 524 to 776 of the family's 1533-position model. The record is from RNAcentral.